This is a long non-coding RNA of Peromyscus californicus insignis, 1775 nucleotides long. RefSeq lists it as uncharacterized. The transcript has 2 exons. NCBI's taxonomy places the organism in Eukaryota, Metazoa, Chordata, Mammalia, Rodentia, Cricetidae. The record is from RefSeq and is a predicted model, not a curated record.
AUUCAGCAGAGAGAAGCCCUCAGGAGUCAGGCUACGGAUUUGUUUAAAGAACCUAACCCUCCAGUUGUUUUUCAUUUUAGAGACUCCAGAGAACACUGCAGUUUCUCCAUGAGCCUGAGGCCAGUAAUACUGCAUGGAGCUUGAGAUUAGCAUGCAUAUGUAUGGAUUGUCUCUCUCUCUGCCCCCUCCAAUAUCAAUGUUGUUUAAAGUAUUGUCAAAGGAAAUCUAUCCCAUUCACAAGCUACAUUAGACACCUAUUUUUGGCAAUUAGAGUCCACAAAGCUCUGGAGAGAAGUAAUUUCCCUAAUUAACACCUUAACUGUAAAGGGGAAAGGAAGUGAGAAGUCCACAGAGGAGCAGGAAACUAACUGCCUAGUCCAGCCCACACUUGCAAUCUGUGCCCUUUCCAUGUGUGAAGGAAGGUCUGAAGGGAGUGAAAGAAGCAUCACUUAGACACAACUUCAGGCACCAGUCUCCACUCAGCCUAGACUAGACAGUACAGAUCAGAUGGCUCUCUUAUCUUGUUUUUCAUAACUCUAGUAGGGUUUUGCUGUUGCUUCUUUAUUUGUUCUUUUGUUUUUGGAGAUAGGACCCCAUAUAGCCCUGGUUGGCCUUGGUAUGUAGCUGAGGCUGGCCUUUAACUCCUUACUGUCUUACCUUCACCUGGGAUUACAGGUGUGUACCACUACGUCUGGCUUUUAAUUCUAAUAGUUUUUAAUUAUUCUUUUUCUAAAAAUCAAAUCAAGAUACUAUUAAAUACUGUGGGGGCGGGCCUUAUCUUGAUGUAGGUGCUAUACAUAGUGGAAAGGUGAAAAAAAAAAUGUGUUGGCUUCAGUAGCACAUAUACUAAAAUUGGAAUGAUAUAGAGAAUGCUACCAUGGCCCUGGCACAAAGAUAGCAUACAAAUUCAUGAAGUGUUCCAUAUAAAAAAAUGUCCACACUGCUGGGUGGUGGUUGUGCAUGCCUUUAAUCCCAGCAUUUAGGAGGCAGAGACAGGUGGAUCUCUGUGAGUUCCAGGCCAGCCUGGUCUACAGAGCGAGUUCCAGGACAGCCAGAGAAACCUUGUCUUGAAAAACAAAACAAAGAAACAGAAAAGUCCACAUUGAUCUGAGGUUGAAUCUGAGGGUUACCAUUUCUUCAUGACUUUGAGUAAGUUAUAGUAUAUCAAAAAGCUGUACCUGUAGUUACCUUUUAUAAUAAAAAGGUAAAUGUUCACUUCAGCUGUGCCUUGAACAGAUAUCUAAGAGAAAACCUCGGCUUGGAUCAUUUUCAGCUUGGAUCACUUUCUGCUUAAUUCACUUUUUUUGUUUGUUUGUUUUGGUUUUGGUUUUGGUUUGUUUUUUCGAGACAGAGUUUCUCUGUGUAGCUCUGGCUGUCCUAGAACUUGCUCUGUAAGCCAGGCUGGCCUUGAACUCACAGAGAUCCACUUCCCUCUGCCUCUAGAAUGCUGGGAUUAAAGGCAUGCACCACCAUCGCCUGGCUAUAUUUUUAUUUUUUAAAGAUUCAUUUUUAUUACUUUUAAUUGUGUGUAGUGGUGUGUGUGUUUAAGCAAAUGCAAAUGCCUGGGGGAGGCCAGAGGCAUCGGAUUCCCCUGGAGCAAGUUAUAGGCAGUUGUGAGCCACCUGAUGUGGGUGCUGAGAAUCAAACCCCGGUCCUCUGUAAUAGCAGUUUGUGCUCUUAACCACUAAGCCAUCUUUCAAGCCCCAACCCCUAUUUUCAUUGUUUUGUUUUUGAAGACAGAGUUUCUUUGUGUAACAGACUUGGCUGUCCUGGAA